RNAcentral lists this ribosomal RNA (604 nucleotides) under uncultured Phialocephala. RNAcentral's name for it is "eukaryotic LSU rRNA". The stretch from base 243 to 396 matches the Rfam family "5.8S ribosomal RNA". Lineage: Eukaryota; Fungi; Ascomycota; Leotiomycetes; Helotiales. The record is from RNAcentral.
CUUGGUCAUUUAGAGGAAGUAAAAGUCGUAACAAGGUUUCCGUAGGUGAACCUGCGGAAGGAUCAUUACAAGUGAGGCUACCGAACGUUGGAAACAGCGGUUAGGAGCUUACACCCACCCGUGUUUACAUACUAUUGUUGCUUUGGCGGGCCGUGGCCUCCACUGCGGGCUCUGCUCGUGUGUGCCCGCCAGAGAACCAAACUCUGAAUGUUAGUGAUGUCUGAGUACUAUCUAAUAGUUAAAACUUUCAACAACGGAUCUCUUGGUUCUGGCAUCGAUGAAGAAUGCAGCGAAAUGCGAUAAGUGAUGUGAAUUGCAGAAUUCAGUGAAUCAUCGAAUCUUUGAACGCACAUUGCGCCCUGUGGUAUUCCGCAGGGCAUGCCUGUUCGAGCGUCAUUUAACCACUCACGCCUAGCGUGGUAUUGGGGCACGCGGUCUCCGCGGCCCUCAAAAUCAGUGGCGGCGCCGGUGGGCUCUAAGCGUAGUACAUACUCCCGCUAUAGAGUUCCCCCCGGUGGCUCGCCAGAACCCCCAAUUUUUUACAGGUUGACCUCGGAUCAGGUAGGGAUACCCGCUGAACUUAAGCAUAUCAAUAAGCGGAGGA